Molecule: ribosomal RNA, 466 nt
Filed under: uncultured bacterium
Lineage: Bacteria
Description: partial 16S ribosomal RNA
Rfam family: Bacterial small subunit ribosomal RNA
Source: RNAcentral
CGCCAGACUCCUACGGGAGGCAGCAGUGAGGAAUAUUGGUCAAUGGGCUUACGCCUGAACCAGCCAAGCCGCGUGAGGGAGGAAGGCGCAGAGCGUCGCAGACCUCUUUUGCCGGGGGACAAAAGGCCGGACUCGUCCGGUCCUGAGGGUACCCGGAGAAAAAGCAUCGGCUAACUCCGUGCCAGCAGCCGCGGUAAUACGUAGGUGGCAAGCGUUAUCCGGAUUUACUGGGUGUAAAGGGCGUGUAGGCGGGAAAGCAAGUCAGAUGUGAAAACCACGGGCUCAACCUGUGGCCUGCAUUUGAAACUGUUUUUCUUGAGUACUGGAGAGGCAGACGGAAUUCCUCGUGUAGCGGUGAAAUGCGUAGAUAUGAGGAGGAACACCAGUGGCGAAGGCGGUCUGCUGGACAGCAACUGACGCUGAGGCGCGAAAGCGUGGGGAGCAAACAGGAUUAGAUACCCCAGUA